This 1554-nucleotide long non-coding RNA is filed under the name Helianthus annuus (common sunflower). Lineage: Eukaryota; Viridiplantae; Streptophyta; Magnoliopsida; Asterales; Asteraceae. The record is from RNAcentral.
UAAUUCAUUUCGUCCAGCCGCUCCUCCUUUCUCUCUCUGGUGAUUUUCAAUUUAGGGUUUCUUGCCUCCUUUGGAAUAAGCAAGAUCUCACCAGAUCCAUCAAUGGUGUGGUCUGUAAAAGUAGUAGAGGCAAGUUCCAACAACCCGAGAUCUAGAGUUUUAAUUUCAUAUCUGAGAUCUCGUGAUUCAACAACAGGCAGCGGCUAGGGUUCUGACCAUGACCACCUGAUCCGUUGUAUAAGGAGCUACGGAAGGCUUGUGCAGGGCCAUUAGUGGAUGUUCCAAGAGACGGAGAGAGGGUUUUCUACUUUCCACAGGGUCAUAUGGAACAAUUGGAAGAAUCUAUGAAUCAGGAAUUAAAUCAAAGGAUUCCUCACUUUAACCCAAAAUCAAAGAUUCUUUGUUGUGUUGUUCAUACUCAGCUAUUGGUAUAUAAUUUUUUGUUUUUCAGCCUCAUAACUGGUUAACUGACAAGGGUGAUAAUGUUGAUUGUCGCAAUGGUGUUUGGAGACUACAAGGUUCACUAGCAGUAUCAAGAGCGAUAGGAGACAAUCAUCUCAAGAAUUGGGUGAUUUCAGAACCGGAAAGUCGGAAACAUGAGUAAUCAACAUUAGACCUGAGUGCGAGUUUUUAAUCCUUGCUUCUGAUGGGAUUUGGGAUACGGUAAGCAGCCAAGAAGCAAUCGACAUUGUUCACCCCUUUUGCAUAGGAACUGCUGUCCCCGGGUUGCCUGCGCCCGGAGCUUGAUUCCGCGUUUGGCUUAUUUCGUUUGGUUAUGGGGUUGGUAUUCUGUCCCUGUCUUGAUGGAAAUUGGCUGCUGGGUUUGGCUUCCGAGUUGCAACGUCUGGGUUCGGGUUUAUCGCAUUGGCAGUUUGCUGCUGUGUUGGGCCACCUGUUUCAGCUUCGUUGAAGGCCUAGGUUAUAGUAGUGUGAUUUUAGGAACCCAAAAAAUGUGGUAUAUAUACUUUCCUUUUUUUGCUGGCUUGGAUGAUGAUUAUAUGAGGCACAAUUUUCAGGCGAGGCGCAACCAUACCGCUUUGUGCCGUCAAAGGCACUCUUCUGAAGGAGGUUUGGAGUGCUUGAUAUGAUACAAGCUGCAGAGUCUUUAACCAAGCUAAAGGCAAGAUGUGACUUGUGUGGAAAGCGCGUUUCUUUUACGUUAAAGAAGACAGACGAAACUGAGAGAGAACAGGUUGCUGGUGCAGAUGUAUACAUUCACAGACAUCACUAUGCAAGUGGUCAAGUGCUCAAAGAGACUGCAAAAGCUGCUCUUCAAACACACACGACUCAGUGUGGUUCAUUGUAUUACGUAUUCACAUGCCGUUUUCAAGCAUUAAUGUAACAGGUUUGGGUUGAACAUUAGAACUUAGAUUCAACCAACCAUUUUAACGAGGUUUUAUUUACAAUAUGGUUUUAGUUCAAAGUUUUGUUGGCGUUUUCUUGUCGGACAUGAAACACGAUCUAUCACGGUUCCGGCUAAGAAAAGCUUGGCUUGAAAAGUAGACAUCAAAUUUUGGCAUGGGCUUGUUAAAAUGUUACUCUAAGUGUUAUUAC